AAUUGGAGGGCAAGUCUGGUGCCAGCAGCCGCGGUAAUUCCAGCUCCAAUAGCGUAUAUUAAAGUUGUUGCAGUUAAAAAGCUCGUAGUUGAAUUUCGGGAUUGACGUGAUGGUCGUGCCUUAAGGGGUAUGAACUGUUGCUGUUGAUUUCUCACCUUCUGGAGAAACUUGAUGUCCUUAAUUGGGUGUCUUGCGGAUCCAGGACCUUUACCUUGAAAAAAUUAGAGUGUUUAAAGCAGGCAUUUUGCUCGAAUACAUUAGCAUGGAAUAAUAGAAUAGGACGGCAUGGUUCUAUUUUGUUGGUUUCUAGGAUCACCGUAAUGAUUAAUAGGGAUAGUUGGGGGCAUUAGUAUUCAAUUGUCAGAGGUGAAAUUCUUGGAUUUAUUGAAGACUAACUACUGCGAAAGCAUUUGCCAAGGAUGUUUUCAUUAAUCAAGAACGAAAGUUAGGGGAUCGAAGGCGAUCAGAUACCGUCGUAGUCUUAACCAUAAACUAUGCCGACUAGGAAUCAGACGAUGUUAAUUUUUUAAUGACUCGUUUGGCACCUUACGGGAAACCAAAGUGU
RNAcentral lists this ribosomal RNA (565 nucleotides) under uncultured Glomus. RNAcentral's name for it is "SSU rRNA". It matches the Rfam family "Eukaryotic small subunit ribosomal RNA", at positions 546 to 1106 of the family's 1831-position model. The record is from RNAcentral. Lineage: Eukaryota; Fungi; Glomeromycota; Glomeromycetes; Glomerales; Glomeraceae.